This 358-nucleotide ribosomal RNA is filed under the name uncultured Streptococcus sp. Its description in RNAcentral is "bacterial SSU rRNA". It matches the Rfam family "Bacterial small subunit ribosomal RNA", at positions 1022 to 1382 of the family's 1533-position model. Lineage: Bacteria; Bacillati; Bacillota; Bacilli; Lactobacillales; Streptococcaceae. The record is from RNAcentral.
CGGUACAUCGGUGACAGUGGUGCAUGGUUGUCGUCAGCUCGUGUCGUGAGAUGUUGGUUAAGUCCCGCAACGAGCGCAACCCCUAUUGUUAGUUGCCAUCAUUCAGUUGGGCACUCUAGCGAGACUGCCGGUAAUAAACCGGAGGAAGGUGGGGAUGACGUCAAAUCAUCAUGCCCCUUAUGACCUGGGCUACACACGUGCUACAAUGGUUGGUACAACGAGUUGCGAGUCGGUGACGGCGAGCUAAUCUCUUAAAGCCAAUCUCAGUUCGGAUUGUAGGCUGCAACUCGCCUACAUGAAGUCGGAAUCGCUAGUAAUCGCGGAUCAGCACGCCGCGGUGAAUACGUUCCCGGGCCUU